GAUGAACGCUGGCGGCGUGCUUAACACAUGCAAGUCGAACGGAAAGGCCCAAGCUUGCUUGGGUACUCGAGUGGCGAACGGGUGAGUAACACGUGGGUGAUCUGCCCUGCACUUCGGGAUAAGCCUGGGAAACUGGGUCUAAUACCGGAUAGGACGAUGGUUUGGAUGCCAUUGUGGAAAGUUUUUUCGGUGUGGGAUGAGCUCGCGGCCUAUCAGCUUGUUGGUGGGGUAAUGGCCUACCAAGGCGUCGACGGGUAGCCGGCCUGAGAGGGUGUACGGCGACAUGGGGACUGGGAUACGGCCCAGACUCCUACGGGAGGCAGCAGUGGGGAAUAUUGCACAAUGGGCGCAAGCCUGAUGCAGCGACGCCGCGUGGGGGAUGACGGCCUUCGGGUUGUAAACUCCUUUCGCUAGGGACGAAGCGUUUUUGUGACGGUACCUGGAGAAGAAGCACCGGCUAACUACGUG
RNAcentral lists this ribosomal RNA (468 nucleotides) under uncultured bacterium. RNAcentral describes it as "partial 16S ribosomal RNA". It matches the Rfam family "Bacterial small subunit ribosomal RNA", at positions 28 to 507 of the family's 1533-position model. The record is from RNAcentral.